CAAUAGCGUAUAUUAAAGUUGUUGCAGUUAAAAAGCUCGUAGUUGAACUUUUGGUAGGAGCGACCUGGCCUUGGGCGCAUGCCCUUGUUUGCCGUGUGUCGUAUCUGGCCAUCCUUUUCCGCUUCGGCGGGAAUCCUUUACUGUGAGUAAACUGGAGUGCUCAAAACAAGACGUUUGUUUGGUACAUUAAAGCAUGGAAUAAUAAGAUAGGACCUGGUUACUAUUUUGUUGGUUUGCAUAGCUAGGUAAUGAUUAACAGGGACAGUUGGGGGUAUUCGUAUUUAAUUGUCAGAGGUGAAAUUCUUGGAUUUAUGAAAGACGAACGACUGCGAAAGCAUUUACCAAGGAUGUUUUCAUUAA
RNAcentral lists this ribosomal RNA (360 nucleotides) under uncultured eukaryote. Its description in RNAcentral is "partial 18S ribosomal RNA". It matches the Rfam family "Eukaryotic small subunit ribosomal RNA", at positions 592 to 976 of the family's 1831-position model. The record is from RNAcentral.